UUCGUGCGGCGGCACGGCUCUGCGAUUCCCCAAUGUUGCUCACCUCUGCGCCAUUAUUCUACGCGGUAGUUCGAGUGUCAAGCCGUGCUCUGAACGAUUGGACGUCUUAGCACCCAAUUGUCGCCUUGCAUUGCGCACAGCGGCAGGGUCGGUGGUUCAUACAUCU
RNAcentral lists this small nucleolar RNA (166 nucleotides) under Rhizoctonia solani 123E. Its description in RNAcentral is "small nucleolar RNA snR35". It matches the Rfam family "small nucleolar RNA snR35". Lineage: Eukaryota; Fungi; Basidiomycota; Agaricomycetes; Cantharellales; Ceratobasidiaceae. The record is from Rfam by way of RNAcentral.